Acanthopagrus latus (yellowfin seabream) is the source of this 908-nucleotide long non-coding RNA. RefSeq lists it as uncharacterized. The transcript has 2 exons. NCBI's taxonomy places the organism in Eukaryota, Metazoa, Chordata, Actinopteri, Spariformes, Sparidae. The record is from RefSeq and is a predicted model, not a curated record.
UGGAGAAUGAUCUUCCUCUUCUGUGGACUGGGACUGACAGCAGCAGUGGCAUUAUGCAGAACACACAACAGGAGGGCCGAAGAAGGAAGUGACAUCACACGAUUGGGGCAAAGCUGAAAUGGUUCUCAGAGCCGUUCCCUUUGGAGCUUUUUUAUUCGCUAAUCUGAUAGAUCUCCUCGUCGCAGCUCAGAGAUUUCUGGCAGCUGUUGUUCGUCGAUGUAAUAAUAGUAAAAAAAGAUGAAAAUCGCAACAAAUCUGCUCACAUUGACAGCUGCAGCUCUGUGAAAGGAGAGUUGGUUCUGAGUUCUGUGAGCUGCUGAUAUACAGGAACAGAUCUACAAUGUUUAAGUGAUUAGAAGACGUCACUGACCAGUCUGUUGGCUGUAUCGUCUUUAUAACGACUUAUCUUUACAGUCUGAUAUUCAUUAGCUUGAUGGCGAACUGACAAACAUCAUAUGUGUGAUUCAUGACACAAUUCAGACAGGAUCAAUGUCAGUGAACAUCAGGUCUCAUCAUGUUGUACUGCAGCUGUCAGGUCAAAGUGCAGAUUGAUGUGAAAAGGAUCCACUGCAUUAUGACUCAACAUAACUGGAACAUUAACAACAGAAGCAGUUCACCAGCAUGAACAUAUUCAACCUGUUUAAAACUUAUGAUUCAUUUAGUUUUACAAUCAUUUGUGUAAAAUCACAGAUAUAUUGUGUGGGUAUAAAAACACAGAACUGUGAAAUUUCACAUUUGUACCUUUUGUCGAGGUAUUUUAAGAUUUGACAUCUGCAUGUUUUACUCGUGUAAUAAUGCACUUUGUGAACGUGUGUAAUCCAGGAGUUGACUGCAUUUCUUAUGAAGAUAAUCAUUUCUCAGUAUUUGUUGCACAUGAUCUCUAAUAAAGUCCAGCAGGUCAGCAGGCA